GCCACCCUAGCUCAAUGGCAGAGCAACUGUUUUGUAAACAGUAGGUUCGCGGUUCGAAUCCGCGGGGUGGCU
Non-coding RNA from Candidatus Giovannonibacteria bacterium, 72 nucleotides. The record is from Rfam. Lineage: Bacteria; Candidatus Giovannoniibacteriota.